This 553-nucleotide ribosomal RNA is filed under the name Agromyces aurantiacus. RNAcentral describes it as "bacterial SSU rRNA". It matches the Rfam family "Bacterial small subunit ribosomal RNA", at positions 360 to 919 of the family's 1533-position model. Lineage: Bacteria; Bacillati; Actinomycetota; Actinomycetes; Micrococcales; Microbacteriaceae. The record is from RNAcentral.
AAUAUUGCACAAUGGGCGCAAGCCUGAUGCAGCAACGCCGCGUGCGGGAUGACGGCCUUCGGGUUGUAAACCGCUUUUAGUAGGGAAGAAGGGCUUCGGCUUGACGGUACCUGCAGAAAAAGGACCGGCUAACUACGUGCCAGCAGCCGCGGUAAUACGUAGGGUCCGAGCGUUGUCCGGAAUUAUUGGGCGUAAAGAGCUCGUAGGCGGUUUGUCGCGUCUGUUGUGAAAUCCUCAGGCUCAACCUGAGGUCUGCGGUGGGUACGGGCAGACUUGAGUGGUGUAGGGGAGACUGGAAUUCCUGGUGUAGCGGUGGAAUGCGCAGAUAUCAGGAGGAACACCGAUGGCGAAGGCAGGUCUCUGGGCACUUACUGACGCUGAGGAGCGAAAGCGUGGGGAGCGAACAGGAUUAGAUACCCUGGUAGUCCACGCCGUAAACGUUGGGCGCUAGCGGUGGGGACCUUUCCACGGUUUCCGUGUCGUAGCUAACGCAUUAAGCGCCCCGCCUGGGGAGUACGGCCGCAAGGCUAAAACUCAAAGGAAUUGACGGGGG